GUUACAGUACAUGCAUUUUAAGAGUAUAUAGUGUUUUUAAUACAAAUUUUGGCAGCAGAGCAUGUUAAUUGUUACUUUCACUGUACUGAUCUGUGUGAGGCUUUCAUUUGUAUGUUCUAAACCAGUUUUUUCUCAGCUGGUUUGUGUAUAUAUAUAUAGUGAUUAUGGAAACUAAUUCUGUGUAAUUUAUAAUUUUCUAUGUCAGUGUAAAAUUCCAACAGCCUUCUCAAACAAACAGAAGCAAUAUAGUGUAUAUUGCCACAUUGUCUGGUGAAAGGGUUAAAGAACUUCACCUCCUGCACUUUUAGAUGCAAAUCCUUUUUUGUUUCUGUAAUAGUUAUAUUCAUUUAUUUUUUACAUCAUUUGUUUUCCUGACCAGUAUUUAAAGCCAAAAGGAUACUCUAAACAAUGGCCAAUGAGUUAUUCUAGAAGGCAUCCCAAGCAACGUGCCUAAACAUUAUAUUACAUACAGAAAUAAUAAAACAAGCAAACUACAUAUGUAUAGCGGCAUUGCCCUUAUUGCUUCCACUUGCAUUUUCUGCAUUAAAUUUCAGUGGCAUUUGUCAUCGUAAAUUGUUGCAAACUGAUCAGUUGUGUGAAAAUUGAGGGGAGAAAAACCACAAUAUCAUAGGUGGAAUCAUUAACUCUGGUUGCCCUUUUCUUUGUUCUUUAUAGGUGAUGAAAUCCAAUUGGUUUCUAAGUUGCUUUUUUUCUUCAGUUCAGAAUUACUUCCAGAUCAGCUUGACCAAAAAUGUUUUGUGUAUUAGCUUUAAGGUUGGCAGCUGUCCUUGUGUCACUUUCUGAUCUGUUAUUGAACAAGCAGGUUUGGAAACAAAACCACUCAUUUCAAUAUAUGAAUUGCAAUCCAAGUAGAAAUUACAAAUACAGGAGAGCAGUGUGUUGGCUUACAGAAGUGAUGCUUGUAAGGAGCAAAACUUUUGUCUUUUCCAAUGGAGCUAUUUGUCCCUUGCAAACAAGUUGAAUUAUCUAGCUACAUAGCCAUUAAAAGUGAUGGAGAUACUAGGAGCAAAUGACUUGAAACUGUGUUUCAGCCCUGUUGUCUACAGUUCAGCAAAGUCCUCUAGUAUGUUGCCCUUCCUUUUCUUAAUGAAGGGGCACAUCCAUCCACUACCCAGUUAAUAAUGAACUCAAAAUUGAAAAGGGGGAGAACUUUGUCCCGCUUCCCUCCAUUCCUGAUGGGUAAUGGGUAAUAACAGUUGAGUGGAGGUGUGAGAAGUGGUGAUGAGUGGAAUUCGCCUUUCAGUGUAGUUUGCCUUCUAAUUAAAGGGUGCAAUAGAGGUAAACUAGGUUGGCUUACCUAAUGCUGAUUCCAGUGGUCUUGAGAGUUCUUCCUUUACUAUUUGCAUUUAUUGUUGGUUUUGACAGCCUGUGAGGGAGGGGAAUUUAAGCCUGGGAUGUAACCUAGAUUUGAUGUAGUGUGAGUUUGUUCUGAGGAGAUGUAGGAUGUGUUUUACCCACUAACUGUAUUAUUACUUGUACAGGAAUCCUGAACUUGAAGAGGAAGCUUUGGAGGUGUGUUUUGAAGGUUUUUAUGGCAGGUGGGGGAGGGUGUACACACCUUUUGCCAUCAUUUACCAAUACUUUAUGCUACUCACAUAAGCUUACCAAGGUUUGAACAUACCUGGAGAGUUCUUCUGAAUGGCUGUGUUACCCGACCUGUUUAAUCAAAUUUUACUUGCAGGCAAUGGAAUUUGAGUCGUCUUUAUUAAAAGGUAUUCUAAUGCUUUUGCAA
Molecule: long non-coding RNA, 1753 nt
Filed under: Strigops habroptila (Kakapo)
Lineage: Eukaryota; Metazoa; Chordata; Aves; Psittaciformes; Psittacidae
Description: lncRNA (ENSSHBG00005018400.1)
Source: RNAcentral